AAGUCCCAAGUUCCAAGUUUUGAGUUUAUCUUAAACACUUGUUACAUGGCACCUGAUACUUUAUUACAUUUCUAGUGGCGGACGGGUGAGUAACACGUUGGAACCUGCCCCAAAGUGAGGAAUAAGCCACCGAAAGGUGGUCUAAUACUUCAUAAUAUCCAUCUCGUAUGGAUUAAAGCUUUAUGCGCUUUGGGAGGGGCCUGCGUAACAUUAGCUUGUCGGUGAGGUAAAAGCUCACCAAGGCUUCGAUGUUUAACUGGUUUGAGAGGAUGACCAGUCACACUGGGACUGAGAUACGGCCCAGACUCCUACGGGAGGCAGCAGUAAGGAAUCUUCCACAAUGGGGCAACCCUGAUGGAGCAAUACCGCGUGCAGGAUGAAGCGUUUCGGCGUGUAAACUGCUUUUAUCACCGAAGAUUAUGACUGUAGGUGAAGAAUAAGGACCGGCUAACUACGUG
Molecule: ribosomal RNA, 458 nt
Filed under: uncultured bacterium
Lineage: Bacteria
Description: bacterial SSU rRNA
Rfam family: Bacterial small subunit ribosomal RNA
Source: RNAcentral